RNAcentral lists this ribosomal RNA (334 nucleotides) under uncultured bacterium. Its description in RNAcentral is "bacterial SSU rRNA". It matches the Rfam family "Bacterial small subunit ribosomal RNA", at positions 8 to 334 of the family's 1533-position model. The record is from RNAcentral.
AGAGUUUGAUUAUGCUCAGGAUGAACGCUAGCUACAGGCUUAACACAUGCAAGUCGAGGGGCAGCGGGAUUGAAGCUUGCUUCAAUUGCCGGCGACCGGCGCACGGGUGAGUAACGCGUAUCCAACCUUCCGUACACUCAGGGAUAGCCUUUCGAAAGAAAGAUUAAUACCUGAUGGUAUGAUGAGAUUGCAUGAUAGCAUCAUUAAAGAUUUAUCGGUGUACGAUGGGGAUGCGUUCCAUUAGGUAGUAGGCGGGGUAACGGCCCACCUAGCCGACGAUGGAUAGGGGUUCUGAGAGGAAGGUCCCCCACAUUGGAACUGAGACACGGUCCAA